This 460-nucleotide ribosomal RNA is filed under the name uncultured bacterium. RNAcentral describes it as "partial 16S ribosomal RNA". It matches the Rfam family "Bacterial small subunit ribosomal RNA", at positions 338 to 795 of the family's 1533-position model. The record is from RNAcentral.
CCUACGGGUGGCAGCAGUGAGGAAUAUUGGUCAAUGGGCGUAAGCCUGAACCAGCCAAGUCGCGUGAGGGAUGAAGGUUCUAUGGAUCGUAAACCUCUUUUAUAAGGGACUAAGGUGUGGGACUUGUCCUGUUUUGUAUGUACCUUAUGAAUAAGUAUCGGCUAACUCCGUGCCAGCAGCCGCGGUAAUACGGAGGAUCCGAGCGUUAUCCGGAUUUAUUGGGUUUAAUGGGAGCGUAGGCGGCCUUGUAAGUCAGCUGUGAAAGUCUGUGGCUCAACCAGAGAAUUGCCGUUGAAACUGGGAGGCUUGAGUAUGGUUGAGGCAGGCGGAAUGCGUGGUGUAGCGGUGAAAUGCUUAGAUAUCACGCAGAACCCCGAUUGCGAAGGCAGCCUGCCAAGCCAUGACUGACGCUGAUGCACGAAAGCGUGGGGAUCAAACAGGAUUAGAUACCCGUGUAGUC